AUGAGGUUGCAGUCAUCUGAAUACUUGCUCUGGGAUGUAAGAUCUAAUUCUAUGCUGGCUCCCACAUACAUGCCCGGCAGUUGAUGCCAGCUAUCAAUAAGAAGGCUCACGUUUUUGCCACUCCAGAAGUCUGCUUGAGAGUCUUUACAACAUGCUGGCUUCCCCCAAAGUGAGUGGUCCCAAAGACAGCAAGGUGGAGGCAAGGUUAUCUUGAAAACUUGGCCUCAGAAGUAACAUGGCAUCAUUCCUGCAACAUCUUAUUGGUUAUAUAGUCGAGAGAAAAAUAUAGUUUUAAAAAUUGUGCUACUACAGAAAGUCUGCAAAAUGCAAUGAAAACGAGAAAACUAGAAUACAUGUACCCAGAGAUAAAAUAACGUUACUGGGAAUCCUCCGUGCUGAAUGAAACAGCCUCAAAAUUCUUACCAAGACUUCUUCAUUCAAACACCUGGUUAGAGCCAACUAUGAGCAAGCACAUGCUAAGAAUUGGGAAGCAGAAAGAAGAGCCGAGGGGUCCAUCCACGUAGGCUCCACACUGCAGUGGCAAGUGAGACAUACAUCCACCAAUACCCAUGCAUCAAAGGUAUUUAACAAAUAAGUACACAAGGAUCAAUGUCAUAAAAAAUGAAGUAACAGGUGGAAAGAUAACCUAUAGAAGGGGAACCCAAAUUUGAACAGAAUGCCAGGCCCAGAACACUUUCCUUGAGAUGCUAACUGAGCUCUAGAAGAAAGAUGAGGAAGGGAGAUUCCUAUUUCAGGUAACAUAGUGAACUAGACAACCUCAAAACCCUCACAGUGAAAACAUUUUGAAAAGUUAACAAGGAACAUAUAUGUGUGCGUGUGUGUGUGUGUGUGUGUGUGUGCGCACGCACGCAUAUAAAACUUAAGUUGGCAUCACAGCAAAAAUACAAAAAUGAAAAGCAAGUCCAAGUUGGAAAAUUAGAAUAUAAGUAAUCCCUGAAACUCAGUAUUGCUUUGAGGGGAAUGGCUCUUGACCUUCUGCUUUCACUGCUGUGAGGGUGCAGGAGGGAGAAGAUGAGGCCCAUGGCCUGGCUUAAGAGGGAGUCAGAGAGAGAACCUUUGCAUGAAGUUAGGACCCGAAUCCUACACUCUUAGUAUAAAGGUGAUUUAGAAACAAACCCCCACACACAGAAGGGAGGAACAGAAAACACACUGAUUUUUAUCUGGAUGACUACUAAAGUGGGGGUGGGAGGCCUUCCCUGAGAAUUAGCACCCUCAAGAUGGAUCACACAGUGGUGUGUUGUCUGGACUCAAGCUAUCUGGUGUCUGACAGACCUCAAAUGCAGAAUUUAAUUCAAAGUGAUUAGGACUGACAGGGCCUCAGGCAACUAGCCGCAAUAAAUGCAAAUCUGCUUCCAGGCAAACACAACA
Homo sapiens (human) is the source of this 1389-nucleotide long non-coding RNA. RefSeq lists it as uncharacterized. The record is from RefSeq and is a predicted model, not a curated record. NCBI's taxonomy places the organism in Eukaryota, Metazoa, Chordata, Mammalia, Primates, Hominidae. The transcript is spliced from 3 exons.